CUCGAGAAUCUGUUAGUUCCAAGGUACUCUUCAAUUUUAUUUCAUUCUUAACCUUUUCUUGCAGAUUGUAAUAUUGUAGAUUAGGUUUUUGAGUAAGGCAAUGUCUAAUUCACCAUUUAUGAACAUAUGUGAUCUAGUCAUUGCAAUCAACUAAUUGCUUCUCUAUACCAGCUCUCCCUUCAAAGUGGUUAUUAUGCUACUUUACAUAAACCCAUAUAAGUUUUGUAUCACAUUCAAUUUGAAUCUGCAUUGAGGUAAUGUACUAACUAAUUCUUAAAUGAUGAUAAGAGAUGCAGUUUAGGUUCAACUGAGUUAUGGCUCAAACAGUGAAAAAUUAUGGAAUCAUUUUUGCAAUUCUUUAUGUUUGAUGCACAUAAAUAACCUGGAGUGCACCCCAUACAUUGUGGUUCCUUAUGCAUGAUGUGGUAAUGCAGAUAAUUUUAGAUGCAUGCAAUGGGACUAUGAGAGGCUUCUAGCUAAAGAGAAGUCAAAUAUAUUAGGAAGAAGUUUUGGUAAUUUUUUAUUGUGGGCUUAUGCUGUGUCUUUGAGCUAUUUUCAUAACAUGUUAAGUAAACAUUUACAUUGCAGUAUUUAAAAUUGUGUUCAGUUGGAUAACAAUGCCAGACUUCUGCUUUGCACACAUGAGAUACUAAAAAUAUGGGUUCAUUAAUAGUUUGAACUGCACAGCCAGACUUCUGCUUUCCACACAUGAGAUACUAAAAAUAUGGGUUCAUUAAUAGUUUGAACUGCACAGCCAGACUUCUGCUUUC
Molecule: unclassified non-coding RNA, 770 nt
Filed under: Hevea brasiliensis (rubber tree)
Lineage: Eukaryota; Viridiplantae; Streptophyta; Magnoliopsida; Malpighiales; Euphorbiaceae
Source: RNAcentral